RNAcentral lists this ribosomal RNA (1878 nucleotides) under Triticum aestivum (bread wheat). RNAcentral describes it as "partial small subunit ribosomal RNA". Lineage: Eukaryota; Viridiplantae; Streptophyta; Magnoliopsida; Poales; Poaceae. The record is from RNAcentral.
GAAACCCUGACCUGUGCGCCUGUCCAUCCCAGCAUGGCCGCCGCCUCGUCCUCCUCCUGCGGCGGCGCCGGCUGCGGGACCCACUGCUCCUCCUCCACCUCGUCAUCCGUAGAGGAUGCUCCGGAGGGGAUUCUGGGCCGUCUGUCCAUAUCCGGUGCCGCCGCCUCCUGCGGCAAGUGCGGCGGCGGCGCCGUCGUCGUGGUUGCCGGAGGCGUCGGUCUGUGCGGAGAGUGCUUGCGCGCCCAGCUGUUCGGGAAGUUCAAGCUCGCCGUCACAAGCAACGCCAUGGUUCGGCCAACCGACUCCGUCCUCGUCGCCUUCUCCGGCGGCCCCGCCUCCAGGGUGGCUCUGCAAUUCAUACAUGAGAUGCGGUCCAAGGCAAUCGAAAGCUGGGACGCCAGCAAUUCGCAAGCCCUACCCGUCUUCAAUGUCGGGGCGGCGUUCGUUGACGAGAGUGUUUUGUUGUCGAAGCCCGAAUGUGAAGUUGAGCAGGCAACUGAAGAUAUUAAGUCACUUGUGUCGAGUUUGUUGCCGGGAGAUAAAGCAAUGCACAUUGCCUCUCUUGAUUAUGUGUUCUCGUCGGAAUCAAAAGACGGCAAAGGCAGGCUGAGGGAGCUAGUUGGCAUGAUUACUGAUGACACUGGGAGGGAGGAUCUUCUUCAGUGCUUGCGCAUGCUUUCGUUGCAGAAGAUUGCACUGGAAAAUGGGUACACAAAGAUCAUGCUGGGAUCAUGUGCUUCUACAAUAGCAUGUCAUGUGCUAUCUGCAACAGUAAAGGGCCAAGGUUAUUCCUUACCAGCUGAUAUCCAAUAUGUUGAUACACGGUGGGAAGUGCCUGUCGUUCUUCCACUUCGUGAUUGCCUGGCCCAAGAGCUUAGCCUGCUCUGUGAAUUUGAUAGUUUAAAGACACAGGAACUUCUUGAUAGGCCUUGCAGUGGCAUCAAUGGCUUAGUCGCAUCUUUUGUUGCACGACUAAGGGAGGAGAAUCCUUCUCGUGAGCAUACUAUUGUAAGAACUGCACAAAAACUUAAGCCAUUCCCUUUUAACAAGUUCUCAGCAAAUGGCUAUCAUGAUUUCCUGCCGUCGCGGCUGCGUCCCAAGUUCCAGGAUGUUGAUAGCGAUGAGUCUGCUUCCUCUGAGGUUCUCUGCCUGAUAUGUCGAAGUCCAUUCAGUGAAUCAGAACUCCAGAAUUUUGAAAGCACAAGGCGCAAGUCUCAGAAGAAAAUUGAUCUGUAUACUGCUUAUUGCUGUCAAAGCUGUCAUUUCCAGAUUCUACCAGGAGGUAGAGACCUGUAUGACCAUUUCUUUUCACUAAUACCAAGGUUCUGGACUGAGAGAGCAGAUACUGCAUCUGCCAGCCAUAGCUCGCUAAGAGAUCAAAUAGAAGACUAUCUUCUUGAAGACGAUGAUGAUGGGAACUGACACUUGUUCAUUGAUGCCAGAAGCCUACAGAGAUUCCUUCCUAGUUGGGCCUCACAAAUCAUGACAUAAACCAAACUUGCUUGGGAUAACAGUGUUUGCAUCUAGUAAGGCACUGGUUUUUUCAGACUUCUGCCAUAUUCUUAGAAUUACCCUGCACUAUAUAUUUUUAUUUAAUUUUCUGGUGUACCUGUAAGUCCUCCCUCAAGUUAAAACAUGUCUGAAACUUGUAGAGUGAUAAAGGAAACCAUCACUUGCCAGCAGUUUUGCACUGAUCUCAGACAGCUGACUUUGGGUAGCUGCAGGUUCCCAACUUCCAUGUGAUUACAGUAUUCUGAUUGGUCUCAUCUACUGUACCAACUAUUUGCCUGCAAGAUUGUAAUCAGAUGAAUUUACCAAAUGGGUUUACAACAACUAUGUGCUGUAUAAACUUUUGUACCUCUCUUGAUUAUAAUCUAU